AGUUAUCUGUUAUAUAUCGACUCAGAUGAAUAUUCUAUUAUUUAGAUGUACAAUAUAAGGAAAAUACUAGAAAAUUAUGUCAAUUUUAUAUGAUAUAAUCAAGAAGUUCUAUUUCUGUGGAAGGAUUACAUAUGAUACAUUGAACAAAAUUUAAUUAUACUACACAAUUCAUAUUAUUUCUACGGAAAAGGAAUCUUAACCUCACAAAUAAGGAAUUUUAUCCAUUAUCAACUUAAGUAGUAAGUAGCCCUCUUAGACGAUUAUGAUUAAAUAAAAGUUUAAAAUGAAGAACAAGACUUAAAGACUGAAAAUAGGAUGCGCCUAUACGAAGCCAAAGUCUGAUUGAGGAUAUUUUUAAUUACCUUUAUAGUAAAUUAUCGAAAAACUGUAGUGGUAAAUCAUUCGGUGGAAUAAAAAGAAAAAAACACCAAGAUUGAUGAAAACGUCAGAAACUUCAUUCGCGGACAAGUUUAUGAUUCAUACAAACAAAAUAAAAUUCCGACAAAGGAAUAAAGGUUAAAAAUACAUCUGCGUUUGUGUUUUUAACAAACGGUUUUCAUCACGAAAAACUAUAAUUAGGACGUUAUCAACGAAAACUCAAAGAAAUAUACAUAAAGUCAACAUACAACAUCAAAAGAUUGAAAAAUGUGAUGGUGUGAUGCGUUAAAAAGAGACAUAAUAUAGAGUGAUUGUGAAUUCUUAUGUAGUCGUUUCGAGUUCCAAUAAACAACAAUAUAUGUCUAUAAUGAACAGAGUAGCAAGAAACAAGCAUUAACCACAGAUUUUUUAACGAUCCACUUGAAUAUUAAUUUUUUACAACUUUACAACUAACAAAAUUCGCCAGAAGAUCUAAAGUAUGAGGUUAUGUGUUCUUAAACGGUGAAUAAAAUUUAAGAGUACUUUUGUUCAUAAAGUGUUGAAUUUAAAAAGUUUUGAACGUACAAAAAUGUUUUAAGUAAUCCAUAAAAUAGGAAAGAAUUAUACUUUUUUCUUGAAAACCACGGCGUAUGUUGUAGAUGAUAAUUGAAUAAAUAUGUCCAAACUG
This is a long non-coding RNA of Diorhabda carinulata, 1045 nucleotides long. RefSeq lists it as uncharacterized. The transcript is spliced from 2 exons. The record is from RefSeq and is a predicted model, not a curated record. Lineage: Eukaryota; Metazoa; Arthropoda; Insecta; Coleoptera; Chrysomelidae.